CAUUUAAUAUGCUUGCUCUGUACUUGUUGUUAAGCCUUGGGCGGACAGGGAGGUGCUAUCCGUUCGGCGUCUGUUCGACGUAUCCGAACUGGCCAAAUAGGACCGAGCUCGGGGCAUGACAAAUAUCCUAACAUAUAAUAUUUUCGCUAUUUAACCUCCCAAUCUCCUUAUUCUUAUCCCAACCUAUGCAUUUGUCACUGCCUUCUAAGUAUUUUUUUUUAUUCCUUCCACAUCUCCUCUAUCAUGGUUUAUUGCACAUUUUCGUUGUCCUCGCUUGGUGCCGGCGCCGGCAUAUCGUUGUCAUCACCUUCACCGGCACAACUUAUACUCCUCGCCGGCACAACUUCGUUGUCACCUCGUCGUCCUCUACACAGCAUGUAUAUCGACGGAAGUCCACCAAUCAU
This 404-nucleotide long non-coding RNA is filed under the name Ananas comosus (pineapple). Its description in RNAcentral is "long non-coding RNA (ACOM_LNC028245)". The record is from RNAcentral. Lineage: Eukaryota; Viridiplantae; Streptophyta; Magnoliopsida; Poales; Bromeliaceae.